CGUCAGCUCGCUCCCGUCGCUCCUCUCUCAUCUUUCCCCGUUCUUUUCUCUUCCCUCUCUUCGGUUCACCCCAUCCCUCUCGUUUUUAUACUUUCUCCACCUGAAAGCACCCAAGAUUCUCCAUCUUGACCAGUGCCAAUCAAAAUCUUGAUGUCAGCGACGGGAAUCACCAACAUCACGUUGCCCAAACGGAUCCACACUGUGCAGCCAUUUAAAUCGGCUACCAAUCUGCCGACGGAUGCCCCCUGCUUCGUUCCGGCGUGCAUCGCCAGAAUCUGGAGUCCACCUGAACGAUUUUUAUACCCAACAACGUCAAGAAUCUCAACAGAGGAACAACAGAAAUAAGGCAGCCAUCGAUUCUCUCUGUCCUCUCAACCGUGCAGUCAUUGAAUCCGGUCGCCGCCUGUUACCCACCCACCGAUGGCCAAUAUGCUCCAUCCCAGAUUUGCGGCCCGAAUAUUACCUCUCGUGUGGUGGCGAACCGUAAAUUAGUGAACAAGAAGCCUGGACGACGACAACAAAUUUUCUUGCAUUGCAGCAGAUUCUUGGAGGACUCUUUCCUUGCCAAACGCCACCCGUCGAGCAGCCGGAGACUGUGACACCACAAUAGCACGGCAGACUCUGGAAUCCGCCUUCGGAGGCGAGUGAAGCAUCUCGGACGGUCGUCUUCGGUUCUUUCCUCGGCCAGAUGAGCAGGUCCUGCUCAACCAUUUGUCAAUCAAAUGGCUAUGUCCAGCAAGAUGCAGAACACGUUAUAGAUCAACCUGAUCUUGGCGUGUUUUUUUAAUUUUGAGAUCUCCAAAACAGCAUCUCUGGUCUCGUUUCUACAGAAGGAGAGUUAGGGAUUACCUCCCGGGCUGUGCGCCUCCGAUCUCAGCCGCAGGACUUAUGGCCGGGUAGCAGUGAUGGGGGUAUGCUCCAGCCUCCAGCACGUGGCACAGCAGGGCGUCUCAAACCAGACAAGUGCCCACUGUUGGCUGGCCUUCCAGCGGCGCGUAGGCUCCAGCAGGCACCCGACCGUAACCUGCUCCUCUACCGAAUGCGUCCAGUUGCAGUCAGAAUCCUCUGUUCGCACAGAACGCAGCUAUGGACGCGCAGCAGCUAGAGUUGACUGUGCAGUUUCCUCCGCACCCGACUCGACGAACACAAACCACACGAGCAGAGGUCACAGUCCAGAAAUAAACAUGGAUUACAGUAGGCAGAGAUGAGGAUUUGGUUACCAGACUGAGGCCAAACGCAGGCUGCAGCUGCUUCCGGGCGCGGAUUCUCCUGCUACAGGACUCGGUGAGGAACUCAGAACGGUGGCGGUUUUGGACGGGAGCUGUUGCGGAACAGGACGGCACUCGCAGGGAUCACGGACUGUGCACGCCGGUGACAGGUUCAGCUUCACAGGCCCGUAUCUCCCAGCCCACAGCUCGGAUUUGAACGUGCUGGCCCGUUGGAACCGGGAGGGCGUCUCGAAUCCAUCCUGGCCGUUUUUACGUGAAAUCCACGGUGGGUUGCGUAGCUAUGGUCCGUCGAACGUGACGGUUCGGCUACUGAUCCGUGAUGGUUCGGCUACUGCAGGGAAGAAAUGCACAGCAGCGAGCUUAUGCAGAUUAGGGAACAGAUUUUACCUGUCUCCAGCGGUGAAAUGUGCUGUUUGAAUGCGCCUGGACCCUGCAUCCAGUGCUUAUGAUGGGAGUGACGACCGUAGGUGGAAAGACUGUUUUACGGAGGGCGGACGUUGGUCUAUGUCAGUCUGCAGCACAGCAAUGUCGCACACAGCAGUAGCGGCAGAGAACCACGCUGGAGUGCUCGUUGGUUGCCUAGGGAUUGCUGGCAUCGUGGUGUACCUUCGGGAGUGCAGCGAAUCUCUGCUGCUUCACGUCAGAGGGAAGGAUGGUCUGCAACUAUGCGUCGGAGAAGACUCACGCUGGAGUGGAAGAUUAUUGAAGGGGAGGAUCUCGGCUGGCCGCGGGUGGCUGCUGCUGUGCAGCUACAAACUGGUCAUUACAGGAAGAAAACGCAAGCAAAAGGACGCGUCCGACCCAAAACGCUGAAGUCUUGGAUCGGGCCUUGUGCUGAACGGAUCUGGAGCAGUGUGCCACGAACUGGUGCGCAGGUUGCAUGCUGGUCUGAGCCUAGCGUAAUCUCCUCCAACGCUGGGCUGCACCUAGCGUCCUCCUCCUUGCCGGGCGCCCAAGGCUGCAAGGGCGCUGACUGCUUCAAGGCUGGAUGGGUGCUGGAUCGUCUCCUUGCUGAGCUGAUUGCUGCAUGUUAAAAGCUCUUGUAGGCGACGGGGGAGGCUGUUGUGAAAGCCCCCUGAGCAGCUGAGCUGCACCUGUCUGCACCCGGUCAACCUCCUCUACCUCUAGGCCACGCCUGGCCGAGUCUUUGGGUGGCUAGUGGGUAGUCACGGCUGCAUCGUGCUGUGGCUGCUGGGCGUUGCUGUGGUAUGCUGAAGUUGGGGCAGACCUCAUGCUCCCGUCCGUAUCCAUGGGCGUGCAGUUGAGGUCCCCUUGGCUAGCUGCACUUUUCUUGCUUGACCCGGCCAAGCUCCUCUUGGCCAAGUCUGGCCGAGCUUUGAUUGAUGAAUCGGGUAGUCCCGGGCCCCCGGCCAUGCCUGGCCGAGGCCGUUGGGGCGUCUCUCGGCCAUCCUGGCCAUCCAGGGGUAGGGUCACAUCUAUAAGAUUUACCUAGUAAGUUAUGUUAAAUCAGAUAUAUUUUUCAUUUUUAUAGAUGUGAUUUAUCUUGGUUAGAGAUUUCUUUAAAUGUUCUUUUAUGAUAAUUUGUUAGGAGAUUUUAAUUUAUUAAAUGUUCUUUUGUGUAAUUUUGUUAGGAGGUUUUAAUUUUCAAGAGCUUACUUAAAAGUCUAUUAGACUUUUGUGAGGACUCUUGGUACUUCUAGUGAUAUCUUUUACAUCAUCUUUAAAAGAGUGUCACUCAAAUACUGGUGCCAAUUGGUUUAUAUUAACACGAAUGCAUAUUUCUAACUAGAUCUUUGAAGAAUUCAA
Nymphaea colorata (pocket water lily) is the source of this 2996-nucleotide long non-coding RNA. RefSeq lists it as uncharacterized. The record is from RefSeq and is a predicted model, not a curated record. Lineage: Eukaryota; Viridiplantae; Streptophyta; Magnoliopsida; Nymphaeales; Nymphaeaceae. The transcript is spliced from 3 exons.